Molecule: ribosomal RNA, 759 nt
Filed under: uncultured bacterium
Lineage: Bacteria
Description: bacterial SSU rRNA
Rfam family: Bacterial small subunit ribosomal RNA
Source: RNAcentral
UCGAUUGAGUUUGAUCAUGGCUCAGGACGAACGCUGGCGGCGUGCUUAACACAUGCAAGUCGAGCGACGCUGUUCCUUCGGGAGCAGACGGAGCGGCGAACGGGUGAGUAACACGUGGGCAACCUGCCCCUAGCUCUGGGACAACUCCGGGAAACCGGGGCUAAUACCGGAUACGAUCUUCCACGGCAUCUCGGAAGAUGGAAAGUUUUUCGGCUAGGGAUGGGCCCGCGGCCUAUCAGCUUGUUGGUGAGGUAACGGCCCACCAAGGCGACGACGGGUAGCCGGCCUGAGAGGGCGACCGGCCACACUGGGACUGAGACACGGCCCAGACUCCUACGGGAGGCAGCAGUGGGGAAUAUUGCGCAAUGGGCGAAAGCCGGACGCAGCGACGCCGCGUGAGGGAUGAAGGCCUUCGGGUUGUAAACCUCUUUCAGCAGGGACGAAGCGAAAGUGACGGUACCUGCAGAAGAAGCACCGGCCAACUACGUGCCAGCAGCCGCGGUAAUACGUAGGGUGCAAGCGUUGUCCGGAAUUAUUGGGCGUAAAGAGCUCGUAGGCGGUCUGUCACGUCGGCUGUGAAAACUCGGGGCUCAACCCCGAGCCUGCAGUCGAUACGGGCAGACUAGAGUGCUGUAGGGGAGACUGGAAUUCCUGGUGUAGCGGUGAAAUGCGCAGAUAUCAGGAGGAACACCGGUGGCGAAGGCGGGUCUCUGGGCAGUAACUGACGCUGAGGAGCGAAAGCGUGGGGAGCAAACAGGA